This 495-nucleotide ribosomal RNA is filed under the name uncultured bacterium. RNAcentral's name for it is "partial 16S ribosomal RNA". It matches the Rfam family "Bacterial small subunit ribosomal RNA", at positions 28 to 507 of the family's 1533-position model. The record is from RNAcentral.
GACGAACGCUGGCGGCGUGCCUAAUACAUGCAAGUAGAACGCUGAAGGAGGAGCUUGCUUUUACGGAUGAGUUGCGAACGGGUGAGUAACGCGUAGGUAACCUGCCUGGUAGCGGGGGAUCACUAUUGGAAACGAUAGCUAAUACCGCAUCAGAGUAGAUGUUGCAUGACAUUUGCUUAAAAGGUGCAAUUGCAUCACUGCCAGAUGGACCUGCGUUGUAUUAGCUAGUUGGUGAGGUAACGGCUCACCAAGGCGACGAUACAUAGCCGACCUGAGAGGGGGGACGGCCACACUGGGACUGGGGCACGGCCCAGGCUCCUACGGGAGGCAGCAGUAGGGGAUCUUCGGCAAUUGACGGAAGGCUGAACGAGCAAAGCCGCGGGAGUGAAGAAGGGUCUCGGAGCGUAAAGCUCUUUUGUAAGGGAAGAACGAGUGUGUGAGUAAAAAGUGCAGACAGUGACGGUAGCGUACCAGAAAGGGACGGCUAACUACGUG